Molecule: long non-coding RNA, 905 nt
Organism: Ahaetulla prasina
Lineage: Eukaryota; Metazoa; Chordata; Lepidosauria; Squamata; Colubridae
Exons: 5
Source: RefSeq, a predicted model, not a curated record
CUUUAACAAUGGCCAUGCUGGAGCAGGGAGCUGGACUAGAUGACCUCCAGGUCCUUUCCAGCCCUGGAUUGCUGUGCUCUUUCAAGGUAUCCUCUGAAGCUGCAUCUAGUGCCAGGUAAAGGAGCAAAACACACUAGAGUUCUCAGCUGUCAAUAAUCUUAAGUUCAGCAAGGAUCUCAAGAUGACCAGAAAAGGCGGAUGGUGGAAAAAGGAUCUGGCAUCCUUUGAGGCUGGGCAAGAUGGCUCAACAGGUAAAGACUCUGAACUUGUCAGCUGGAGAACUAACAGCCUGGAUUCAAGACCCAAGCUCCGUUCAAUGAGGAAAAAGAGGGAUUGGCUGUUUUCUCCUGAUUAAUCCAAGCAUUGUGAGAAGAUCAGGUGGCGGUUCAGUCAUUUCUACAAAACCUCAAAGAGACCUGUUAUCAAAUCUCCCCCAUUGGUCUGCCUCACACAGUCUUGCAGUGAGGGGUAGUUUAUAAACUUGUGGAAAGGACGAUAUGAGAUUCUUAAAAUGUAUGGUAUAAAAAUGUAUACAUUUCUCUCAGGCCGCAAGUGACAUCUGCCAAACUUAAUUAGAAUCUAGAUUGCAGAAAAUAUGACUUCUGUAACAGAAUCAUCAGUGCUUGGAAUACUUUACCUGACUCUGUGGUCUCUUCCCAUAAUCCUAAAAGCUUUAACCAAAAACUUUCUACUAUUGACCUCACCCCAUUCCUAAGAGGACCAUAAGGGGCGUCCAUAAGCGCACAAACGUGCCUACCAUUCCUGUCCUAUUGUUUUUCUUUUCUUCUUCCUAUAUAUAUGCUUAUACCUCCUUAUAUUUACUCAUAUAUGUGUUUAUAUACUAUAUAAUUUUUUUGUAUGAUACCUACAUAUAUUGUUGUGACAAAAUAAAAUAAAUAAAAAAU